AUUGAACGCUGGCGGCAUGCCUUACACAUGCAAGUCGAACGGCAGCACGGGAGCAAUCCUGGUGGCGAGUGGCGCACGGGUGAGUAAUACAUCGGAACGUGCCCACUCGUGGGGGAUAACGCAGCGAAAGCUGUGCUAAUACCGCAUACGAUCUACGGAUGAAAGCAGGGGACCGCAAGGCCUUGCGCGAAUGGAGCGGCCGAUGGCAGAUUAGGUAGUUGGUGGGGUAAAGGCUCACCAAGCCAACGAUCUGUAGCUGGUCUGAGAGGACGACCAGCCACACUGGGACUGAGACACGGCCCAGACUCCUACGGGAGGCAGCAGUGGGGAAUUUUGGACAAUGGGCGCAAGCCUGAUCCAGCCAUGCCGCGUGCAGGAUGAAGGCCUUCGGGUUGUAAACUGCUUUUGUACGGAACGAAACGGCCUUUUCUAAUAAAGAGGGCUAAUGACGGUACCGUAAGAAUAAGCACCGGCUAACUACGUG
RNAcentral lists this ribosomal RNA (484 nucleotides) under uncultured bacterium. RNAcentral's name for it is "partial 16S ribosomal RNA". It matches the Rfam family "Bacterial small subunit ribosomal RNA", at positions 30 to 507 of the family's 1533-position model. The record is from RNAcentral.